GAGUUUGAUCGUGGCUCAGAGUGAACGCUGGCGGUAGGCCUAACACAUGCAAGUCGAACGGCAGCACAGGAGAGCUUGCUCUCUGGGUGGCGAGUGGCGGACGGGUGAGGAAUACAUCGGAAUCUACCUUUUCGUGGGGGAUAACGUAGGGAAACUUACGCUAAUACCGCAUACGACCUUAGGGUGAAAGUGGGGGACCGCAAGGCCUCACGCGAAAUAGAUGAGCCGAUGUCGGAUUAGCUAGUUGGCGGGGUAAAGCCCACCAAGGCGACGAUCCGUAGCUGGUCUGAGAGGAUGAUCAGCCACACUGGAACUGAGACACGGUCCAGACUCCUACGGGAGGCAGCAGUGGGGAAUAUUGGACAAU
Molecule: ribosomal RNA, 367 nt
Filed under: uncultured Gammaproteobacteria bacterium
Lineage: Bacteria; Pseudomonadati; Pseudomonadota; Gammaproteobacteria
Description: bacterial SSU rRNA
Rfam family: Bacterial small subunit ribosomal RNA
Source: RNAcentral